GAGUCGUUCAAAAGAGUAAAAAAUUAUCUGAUGACUUGAAACAAUACUUCUAAUUUUCUAAGAGCUUCCAAAAAUAGAGAAUGUGUUUUGGCUACCUGUGGUCUUUUAAUAACUGGUUUGGUUACUUUUCUGAUGACUGUUUUAGCUAAUUAAUUCAGCAUGUUAAUUACUUUCUUUUAACAUGGUUGUGGCCAACACCUUUUGCUUCCAGUAAUCAAGUCAUAUUUAAUCUCAGUCUGUAAAGAGGACUGUCUAUGAACUUGUCUAAACUUGCUUAAACUUCAUUUACUUUUACAUUCCUGGGAAAAAUUGAUUUUUUUUUUUUAAUACAAAUGAGUUCAUUUCCUAUUUCAGUACCCACUCCAAUUCUCUAAGGGCCUACUGAUUUCCAGGCUCUCAAAAAUCUUUCCCCUUCCAAUUUGGAUUUUAGUAAUUACUGUCUUCCUAAUUUGGAAUUUCAAUUUGAAAACAAAUUUGUUUGAUUUGGCAUUAGGUUGACCAUCUUAUUUUAAAUGAGAUCAUGUAGCUCUAAUUUUCUAUGAUCAUAGGAAGUAUUUGCUGAGCACCAUCUUUGUUACUUUGAGGAAACUAAAAAACAACUUUUCUACUGAGCUUAUGAUUCUCCUUGACAGUUCCUUUAACUGAAGGGCUCUGAAACAGACUUGUACUACUCGGAAUGUGAAUGACCUAAUUGCUUAGAGCAGUGCUUAGCACACUGCACGUUUUCAAUAAAUGGAGCUAUUUUUCAUCAAUCCAUUCUUUGACUCAACAAAGAAACAACAUUUAUUGAACACCUCCUUGAUGGAGGCUACAAGAAGCUCUGUUCUGGAGAAAGAAAUAUAUUGUGUUUUAAUUAGAAGAAAAGCAUCACUGUAAAACAGAAUGAUAAUGAAUAGAGAAUUUUGAGAUCACAUUUGGUGUGAAACAUGACAUUCGAAAUUUCAGGUGAUUAAUUCUUGAAACAAUAUAUUGAAUGAUCCUAAAAGAGAAAAAAGACAAGAAAAAAAUGGAAAAAAAUUAGACUUAUUGCACAAAGAUGAUUUAAUAUAUUUCAUUUACUCGUAUGGCAGAUAAUCACUCAUUCACCACACAUUGUGUGAGUAACUGCUAUGUGCAGAGCAAAGUACAGAGCACUUAGGGACUAUCUGCCCCAAGGAGUGUGCUACCUAGUAUGGAAAUUGUUUCGGUUUGCUAAUGCUGCUGUCAUGCAAAAUACCAGAAAUGGAUUGGCUUUUAUAAAGGGGUUUUAUUUGGUUACAAAGUUACAGUUUUAAGGCCAUAAUGUGUCCAAGAUAAGGCAUAACAACAGGGUACCUUCACUGAAGGAUGGCCAUUGGCAUCUGAAAAACCUGUGUUAGCUUCGACGGCACGUGGCUAAUGUCCGCUUGCUCCUAGGUUGCAUUUCAAAAUGUCAUUCUCCAAAAUGUUGCUCUUGGGGCAUUUUGUCCUCUCUUAGCUGCAGCUCCUCUUCAACAUGUCACUCUCAGUUGCUC
Molecule: long non-coding RNA, 1493 nt
Organism: Choloepus didactylus (southern two-toed sloth)
Lineage: Eukaryota; Metazoa; Chordata; Mammalia; Pilosa; Megalonychidae
Exons: 3
Source: RefSeq, a predicted model, not a curated record